This 253-nucleotide ribosomal RNA is filed under the name uncultured bacterium. RNAcentral's name for it is "partial 16S ribosomal RNA". It matches the Rfam family "Bacterial small subunit ribosomal RNA", at positions 524 to 776 of the family's 1533-position model. The record is from RNAcentral.
GACGUAGGGGGCCAGCGUUGUUCGGAAUUACUGGGUGUAAAGGGUCAGUAGGCGGUGCGGCAAGUCGGGAGUGAAAUCUCUGGGCUUAACCCAGAGGCUGCUUCCGAAACUGCUGUGCUUGAGUGUGGGAGAGGCGCGUGGAAUUGCAGGUGUAGCGGUGAAAUGCGUAGAUAUCUGCAGGAACACCCGUGGCGAAAGCGGCGCGCUGGACCACAACUGACGCUGAGGUGCGAAAGCGUGGGGAGCAAACAGG